RNAcentral lists this ribosomal RNA (476 nucleotides) under uncultured bacterium. RNAcentral's name for it is "bacterial SSU rRNA". It matches the Rfam family "Bacterial small subunit ribosomal RNA", at positions 29 to 513 of the family's 1533-position model. The record is from RNAcentral.
AAUGAACGUUGGCGGCGUGGAUUAGGCAUGCAAGUCGUGCGCGAACUGUAGCAAUACAGGGAAAGCGGCGUAAGGGAGAGUAAUACGUAGGUAUCUACCCAUGGGUCUGGGAUAGCGGCGGGAAACUGCCGGUAAUACCAGAUAACGUCUCCGGACCAAAGGUGUGAUUCCACCUGUGGAGGAGCCUACGGCCUAUUAGCUAGUUGGCAGGGUAACGGCCUACCAAGGCUUGGAUGGGUACGGGGUGUGAGAGCAUGCCCCCCGCUCACUGGGACUGAGACACUGCCCAGACACCUACGGGUGGCUGCAGUCGAGAAUCUUCGGCAAUGGGCGCAAGCCUGACCGAGCGACGCCGCGUGCGGGAUGAAGGCCUUCGGUUGGUAACCGACUGUCGUAGGGGAGUGAACGACUAGUGAGUUAUCUCAUUAGUUUGUACUGAACCUAGGAGGAAGGGCCGGCGUAAUCUCGUGCCAGCA